AACGAACGCUGGCGGCAUUCCUAACACAUGCAAGUCGAACGAAGCCUUCGGGCUUAGUGGCGCACGGGUGCGUAACGCGUGGGAACCUGCCCCUUGGUUCGGAAUAACAGUUAGAAAUGACUGCUAAUACCGGAUGAUGACGAAAGUCCAAAGAUUUAUCGCCGAGGGAUGGGCCCGCGUAGGAUUAGCUAGUUGGUGAGGUAAUGGCUCACCAAGGCGACGAUCCUUAGCUGGUCUGAGAGGAUGAUCAGCCACACUGGGACUGAGACACGGCCCAGACUCCUACGGGAGGCAGCAGUGGGGAAUAUUGGACAAUGGGCGAAAGCCUGAUCCAGCAAUGCCGCGUGAGUGAUGAAGGCCUUAGGGUGUAAAGCUCUUUUACCAGGGAUGAUAAUGACAGUACCUGGAGAAUAAGCUCCGGCUAACUCCGUGCCAGCAGCCGCGGU
This 446-nucleotide ribosomal RNA is filed under the name uncultured bacterium. RNAcentral describes it as "bacterial SSU rRNA". It matches the Rfam family "Bacterial small subunit ribosomal RNA", at positions 29 to 521 of the family's 1533-position model. The record is from RNAcentral.